CACAUUACAUAUAUUGCCACAUGUUAGAAAAGUGCAACACUCUCUGUUCGUGAACAACUCUUUGUCUGUUCUGCAGGUGGAAUUUAUCUGUCCCUAUCCAAAAUAUCUUGAUUUCAAAAUCAGUCGAAAUUCAUGUCUCUUAUCAAGGUUAACUAACUGCAGAUAUAACCAAUAUAAAUUACAUCCAAAUUAUUCUCGUUUUGAAAAUGCAUGAAAUAUUUUCUACUGAAAGCAAACAAACAGCAACCAGUUAAUGAAAAACAAAGUUCCAUUUCUUUGCUUCAUGUUUCAGUUCACUUAUUUGAAUUUGGAUUUUCUAAAACUUUGUUUGUCAAUUUUGUUCUAUUGAGAUAAAAAGAGAUAAUAAAUUUACUUACUGAAAAACAGAAUGAGUACCAACAUGUACCUAUAAACGUAGUUUCACCAAACAGAACACUCAUAUGACAUAAAAACUUUCCCAGCUUGUUUUGAAGAAUAAAUUAUUUCUAGCGAACCAUCAGUUAUUUACUUUGGUUGUGUUUU
RNAcentral lists this long non-coding RNA (522 nucleotides) under Mytilus galloprovincialis (Mediterranean mussel). The record is from RNAcentral. Lineage: Eukaryota; Metazoa; Mollusca; Bivalvia; Mytilida; Mytilidae.